AUGCAUUGCUGCAUAUCAUCUUCUUCUUCACCACUUGUUUUAGGCAGCCAUGGAAAUGGAGAAACCAACCCUGCAAGUCUUGGCCAGCAGCUGCAAAUAAUUUGGUUAGUAAUCUCCUUGUUUGGUGUGUUAAUUAUUUAGAAUACCUUUGUUAAUUAUCCAUUAAUUUUAAGAAGGGGGCUUUACCAGUAGCUUAGGAAGUUUGUUUUAGUUAUUGAAUGGACUAAUUAUGAACGGAAACCAUAAUCGGAUUAUUAGUGGUGUCGUGUUGGUGCUUGGGCUGUUUUGAUUAAAGCAAACUGCGGGAAAAUUCUGUUUUGGCAUUAUGUAUAUGUAAAAUGUGAUUAUGAGUAUAUACUCCAAAGGAUGAAUACGAUAAGGUAGAUGUGUUGUGUUAUGCCUCGUAUUUUUUUAUACGUAGUGCGCAUCGUGAUCUAGUGGACGUAAGUCCGAGGAAUGAGAUUUUAUUUUAAGUUCCAAGUGAUUAAAGAAAUAUUAGGAAAGGAUGUUAUUUCCAAAUGUGAUAUUAAGUAUGAGUUGGCUAAUGUAAGUGCCAUUAUCUUUAAGUGAGGGAUUAAUUAGUGGCUAAUUUGGAUUAAUUUAAUCCAAUGGGCCCCACCACUCAUAAUUGGUGGCUGAUUAAUAUUUAAUCCAGUGGGCCCCACCACUCAAGGCAAAAAUUAAAAAGGAAUCAGAUUGUGGGCUGGCCUUAGUGGACAGGUGUAGAGGGGGGCUGCCUCCACUUCAUACUAUUAAAUGAGGUGGAGAAAUCCACUCCAUGCUAAAUAAAGUGGUGAAAUGCAUUGCUGCAUAUCAUCUUCUUCUUCACCACUUGUCUUAGGCAGCCAUGGAAAUGGAGAAACCAACCCUGCAACUCUUGGCCAGCAGCUGCAAAUAAUUUGGUUAGUAAUCUCCUUGUUUGGUGUGUUAAUUCUUUAGAAUACCCUUGUUAAUUAUCCAUUAAUUUUAAGAAGGGGGCAUGACCAGUAGCUUAGGAAGUUUGUUUUAGUUAUUGAAUGUGCUAAGUAUGAAUGGAAACCAUAAUCGGAUUAUUAGUGGUGUCGUGUUGCUGCUUGGGCUGUUUUGAUUAAAACAAACUGCAGGAAAAUUCUGUUUUGGCAUUAUGUAUAUGUUGAAUGUGAUUAUGUGUAUAUAAUCCAUAGGAUGAAUACAAUAAGGUAGAUGUGUUGCGAAUUAUAAAACGAAUUAUCGCUCGGUGUGUCAUUGCUUCGCUGCUAUGGUUGCCGAGACGGAACUGUUUUGGGGAGGGGGCUGUUUAAUAUGAUUCUUUGGGUUAUAUGUGUUAUUGGUAUUGCUGUGGAUAAUUUGGAUUGUUGUCGGAUUGGGACGAACUAAGGAAAAUAGGGGAGGUGUUGCCGAAUUUUCGUUAGAUUAUUAGCUAGCUUACAAGAAAGUAAAGCACGAUGUUUAUCUAAUUGCGGCACGAUUGUUGCUUGUUAUAGAUUAAUAGCUUGAGCAGUAAAUAUUGGACGUGCGGCUCGAUUAUACGGUAUGUAACGCUGUCCCUUCUUUCUUUGUUUGGCAUGACUUUUAAAAAUAAGCGAAUAAAGGACAGGUUUGAUACUUACCUCUAAAGCGUCUAGGUGACGUAUAUUCUUGCUUCCACAAUUAUUCCUCUAUAUAUUGACUAUGUCUAAGGCUAUGAUGAUCUCUAAUAUCUAUGGUAGUGCUUCUUAGAGUCAUUGAGAUUUUAUGUUUCCAUAUCGUAUUAAAGGUUCAUAAUCUUGAUAAAACAUUAAUCUUUGGUAAUACUCCUUGCUGGUUCACGUUGAUUGUUCUAUUGAGUUAUAAGAAAUGAUUUUAAUUGCAUAUGGUUGCUCAUAAUAUUCUGCUCGUGCAUAGAGUCAUUUAUCAUUUCACCGAGUCCCGGGCCGGGUAAUGUUCGUGCGGAGUUUCUUGCAUAUGUCACCGAGUUCCUCACUAGAGGGCCGGGUAUGUAUAUUAUAUAUAUGAUUGGUGAUGAGGAUGGUUAUGAUGAUGAUGAUGACGGAGAUGACGUGAUGAUUAUUUUGCUGAGCCUCUUACUAGGGAAGCUGGGCACCUUAAAUGUUAAAUAUAUGCAUGAUUUUCACUUAAAAGGGUAUAUGUGUAGCGAUAUUUUGUUUCGACUUGCUAUAUUGGUAUCCUGUCAUCUUUACCUUAUGCUUUACAUACUCAGUACAUUGUCCGUACUGACCCCCCUUUCCUCGGGGGGCUGCGUUUCAUGCCCGCAGGUGUAGACGCACAGUUCGGUGAUCCUCCCGCCUAGGAUAUCUACUCUGCUGAUUGGGAGAGCUCCACUGUUCGGGAGCCCAGUCGUUUUGGUACAUAACUUUUUGUGUAGUCUUUUGCUCAUCGAUGGGUACGGCGGGGCCCUGUCCCGUCGAGUUUCACUACUGUACUCUUAGAGGUCUGUGGACAUUAUGUUGGUUGUAUAUAUAUGUUUUGAAUAAUGGUCUGGACAUGGUUUGUUUGGGAUGUCCGCUUGUACAGGGGCAGCCUUGUCGGCUGCGUACAUCAUUGUGUAUUGUGUAGUGGCAGCCUUGUCGGCAUACGUAUGUUAUUAUGCUUUGAAUAGUGGCGGCCUUGUCGGCUCGUGUAUGCUGUUAUGGUUGAAUGGUUAUAGACUCCUUAUGAGACAGGUCCUCUUAUAUAUAUAUGACGUUGGGGUUGGCUUGAUUUGAUUAAAUUCCAUAUUGUCUUAGUUUCAGUUGGUUAUACUUAGCAGGUUUGUAUGUGGGUGUCCAAAACAGGCGCUAGUCACGGCCCAUCGGGUUGGGUCGUGACAAAGAGUGGUAUCAGAGCGGUUCUUCCUCGGAAGUGUCUACAGACUGUGUCUAGUAGAGUCUUGUUUAUCGGUGUGUUGUGCACCACAUCUAUAAAUAGGAAGCUACAGGACAUUUAGGAUGUCAUUCUUUCUUCUUAUUCUAGAUCGUGCGAUAGAGCUAUAUUAACAGGAUAAUCCCUCUCUAACGAAUCCGUGUGUUUUCAUCUAUGCCUCCAAAGAAAGUGACAGCCGCCCAGAAGGGAAAAUCGGUAGCAGAAGGUACUAUUCAGACCCGGAGAGUUACUAGGGCCCGUGCCCAGUCUAUGCCUGGUAUUAUGCUCCAAUCGGAGAGCUUUGCUACACCCCCACCGCUAGAAGAGCUUAGAGCAACAGAAGCUCCAGUUCGGGGGACACCACCAGCCCCCGAGGCCCCAACAUCUGAACCUCCAGCUCCUCAGUCAGGGGCGGAGGAUAGGGCCAUGAGAGAUGCGGUUCAAUUGCUGACUAGAUUAGUGGCAGAUCAGGCUCGUAGGCAUGGACUAGGAGUUGAUCAUGCGGACAGAUCUGAUAGCUUAAGGGCUCGUGACUUCUUAAGUUGUAAUCCUCCAGAGUUCUUUGGGUCAAGGCCCCAGGAUGAUCCGCAAGAGUUUAUUCGUCAGAUGCAGCGUACAUUGAGGAUAAUCAGGGCUUCGGAGACCGAGUCUGUUGAGUUGGCUACGUAUCGUUUGUGGGAUGUAGCUAUUAAUUGGUAUGAGUCUUGGGAGUUAUCUAGGGGUGAGGGUGCUCCUCCAGCGGUAUGGGAUGAAUUUGUGGAGGCUUUCCAGGGCCACUUCCUGCCUCCAGAGAUGAAGCGAGCUAGAGUCGAUAGAUUCUUGCGUUUGAAGCAAAAUGGCAGGAGCGUUCGAGAGUAUAGCCUCGAGUUUGAUUCAUUGGCUAGGCAUGCGCCUACUAUUGUGGCUGAUAUGGCAGACAGGGUACAUCGUUAUGUGAUGGGAUUGGAUCGUUAUCUGAUUGAUGGUUGUAUGGCAGUGACUCUUCAGCCAGGUAUGGACAUUGCUCGGGUGCAGGCAUAUGCACAAGGGGUAGAGGAUCGGCACCGGGGACGUCAGCCAGAUAGAGAUUAUAAUAGAGGCCAGCAUAAGAGGGCUAGAUCAGCAGGUUAUCCUGACGAGUUUCGAAGCGGGCAGUCUCAGCAGCAUGUUAGAUUUUCUUCCCAGCCAGCACAGAGUGCACCCCCACGUUUCAUGGGUAGGGGAUUCGAUCGUAUGGGAUAUUCGGAAGCUGGUCAGAGCUCUAGGGCGUCAGGGUCACAGAUGGGAAGGAGUUUGAGCAAGUCGAGGCCACCUUUGUGUUCUCGUUGUGGUAAGUCCCAUCCUGGGGAAUGUCGUUAGGCUACAUGUGCGUGUUUUUCUUGCGGCCGUCAGGGCCAUACUAUGAGGGAGUGUCACCUUAGAGGUAGUGCAGGUGGUAUGGCACAACUUACAGGGUCCGUUGCUGGUUCAUCUUCUUCUGUGGCUAUGCACCCUAUGGGGCAGGGUAUUCAGGCGCCAGCAGGCCGUGGUAGAGGACGUGGUGGAGCUUCCAGUUCUAGCGGUCCCUCAAACCGUAUAUAUGCUUUGACUAAUAGGCAAGAUCAGGAGGCGUCACCUAAUGUGAUCACAGGUAUAUUAUCACUAUUCUCCCGAAGUGUGUAUGCAUUGAUAGAUCCAGGUUCCACCUUAUCAUAUAUAUCUCCCUUUGUUGCUAGUAGGAUCGGAAUAGAGUCUGAGUUGAUAGAACCAUUUGAGGUAGCUACACCUGUAGGAGAUUUUGUCAUAGCUACGCGAGUAUAUAGGAAUUGUUCAGUAGUUAUAUAUAGUCGUCGUACCGUAGCAGAUCUAAUAGAGUUAAAUAUGAUUGAGUUUGAUAUUAUCAUGGGCAUGGAUUGGUUGGCUGCUUGUUAUGCUAAUGUUGACUGCAGAGGAAAGAUAGUUCGAUUUCAAUUUCCAGGGGAACCGAUUAUAGAGUAGAAGGGAAGUACAGUAUCGCCGAAAGGUAAGUUCAUUUCAUACCUCAAGGCCGGGAAGAUGGUUAGAAAAGGCUAUAUUUACCAUCUGAUUCGGGUGCAUGACAUAAAGGCAGAGGCACCGACUCUUCAAUCAGUCCUGGUAGUUAAUGAAUUUCCCGAUGUAUUCCCUAAGGAACUUCCAGGCCUUCGUCCAGAAUGGGAGAUAGAGUUUACUAUAGAUGUACUGCCGGAUACCCAGCCUAUAUCUAUACCUUCUUAUAGAAUGGCACCUGCUGAGUUGAAAGAAUUGAAAGAGCAAUUGAGGGAUUUGCUAGAAAAGGGCUUCAUCAGCCUAGUACGUCACCUUGGGGAGCACCGGUACUGUUUGUGAGGAAGAAGGAUGGGUCGUUGCGGAUGUGCAUUGAUUAUAGGCAGCUGAACAAAGUAACAAUAAAGAACAGGUAUCCCCUCCCAAGGAUUGACGAUCUAUUUGACCAGUUGCAGGGUGCAAAGUGUUUUUCAAAGAUAGACUUGCGGUCAGGUUAUCAUCAGGUGUGGGUAAGGGAGGCAGAUAUUCCAAAGACGGCAUUCCGGACCCGAUAUGGAAAUUAUGAGUUUAGAGUGCUGUCUUUUGGGCUGACUAAUGCUCCAGCGGUGUUCAUGGAUUUAAUGAAUCGAGUAUUUAAACCAUUCCUUGAUAUGUUUGUUAUUGUAUUUAUAGAUGAUAUUCUGGUCUAUUCACGUUCAAAAGAAGAGCAUGCAGACCAUUUAAGGACGGUACUUAGGGUGCUUCAGCACCAGAAGUUGUAUGCUAAAUUUUCUAAGAGCGAGUUCUGGUUGACUUCAAUGACAUUCUUGGGGCAUAUUAUUGGAGCUGAUGGUAUUCGGGUAGACACGCAGAAGAUUGAGGCAGUAAAGACUUGGCCCAGACCUACGACACCUACUGAGGUACGCAGCUUUUUGGGGUUAGUAGGAUAUUACAGGAGAUUCGUAGAAAAGUUUGCCUCAAUUUCAGUGCCUUUGACAAGGCUAACUCAAAAGGAAGCCAAGUUCCAGUGGACAGAUGCUUAUGAGCGAAGUUUCCAGCUAUUGAAAGACAAAUUGACUACAGCUCCAGUCCUAACUCUUCCGGAGGGACCAGAUGGCUAUGUUAUUUAUUGUGAUGCUUCGGGUGUUAGGCUAGGAUGUGUAUUGAUGCAGCAUGGCAAAGUUAUAGCCUAUGCCUCCCGACAACUUAGGAAGCAUGAAAAGAACUAUCCUACUCACGAUCUGGAGUUAGCGGUCGUGGUUCAUGCCUUGAAGAUAUGGAGACAUUAUUUAUAUGGUGUCCAUGUGGACAUCUAUAUAGAUCUUAAGAGUCUCCAAUAUAUCUUUAAACAGAAGGAGCUGAACUUACGACAAAGGCGGUGGUUAGAGUUGCUAAAGGAUUAUGAUAUUGAUAUUUUAUAUCAUCCAGGGAAAGCGAAUGUUGUAGCAGAUGCCCUUAGCCGUAAAUCCAUGGGUAGCUUGACAGAUGUACAACUAGAAAUGAGGAAUAUGGUUCGGGAGAUUCAGCGGCUAUCCAGCCUUGGAGUCCGUCUAGCUAAUUCGGAAGAUAGUGGAGUUUCUAUUCGAGAGGUUGCUGAGUCCUCAAUCAUAGAUGAGGUAAAGAGACACCAAUACAAGGACCCUAUUCUGGCACAGUAUAGAGAUGCAGCUCUUCAAAAGGAAAAGACCCCAUUUAAGGUUACACCUGACGGAGUAUUACGAUAUGAAGGCAGAUUGUGUGUACCCGAUACUGUGGGGCUACGACGGCAGGUUAUGAGAGAGGCACACUCUGCCCGUUAUUCUAUUCACCCAGGGUCAACAAAAAUGUAUCAUGACCUCAGAUGCUUAUAUUGGUGGGAUGGCAUGAAAAAGGACAUAGCGGAGUUUGUUGCUCAGUGCCCAAAUUCUCAACAAGUCAAGAUCGAACAUCAAAAGCCUGGUGGAUUAUUACAGGAGAUAGAGAUCCCGACUUGGAAAUGGGAGAUGAUUAAUAUGGACUUCAUUACAGGCUUACCUCGCACUCAACGGAAGUAUGACUCUAUAUGGGUUAUUGUAGAUAGGCUGACGAAAUCGGCCCAUUUUCUUCCAGUCAGGACUACUUAUUCGGCUGAAGAUUAUGCGAGGUUAUAUGUCAGGGAGAUAGUGAGACUUCAUGGGGUUCCCACGUCCAUUAUAUCAGAUAGAGGAGCUCAAUUUACAGCCAACUUUUGGAGAUCCUUUCAGAAGGGAUUGGGGACACAGGUGAACCUUAGCACAACAUUUCACCCUCAGACGGAUGGGCAGGCUGAGCGUACUAUUCAGACACUAGAAGAUAUGUUGGGGGCCUGUAUUAUUGACUUCAAAGGUAGCUGGGAUGACCACUUGCCGCUCAUUGAGUUUGCCUAUAAUAAUAGCUACCAUUCUAGUAUCCAGAUGGCACCGUACGAGGCCUUAUAUGGGAGGAAGUGCAGAUCACCUAUUGGUUGGUUUGAUGUUGGCGAGACUAAGUUAAUAGGCCCGAAUGUGAUUCAGCAAGCUGUUGACAAGGUGAAGCUUAUUCAAGAAAGAUUAUUAGCAGCCCAGAGUCGACAAAAGUCAUAUGCAGAUAGUCGGCAUCGAGAUUUGGAGUUUCAGAUUGGUGACUAGGUAUUCCUGAAGGUAUCACCCAUGAGGGGUGUGAUGAGAUUCGGCAGGAAGGGGAAGCUCAGUCCGAGAUACAUUGGGCCUUAUCAGAUUGUUCGUAGGAUAGGCAAGGUUGCCUAUGAGUUGGAUCUACCAUAUGAUUUGGAGGCGGUUCAUCCAGUCUUCCAUGUAUCGAUGCUACGUAAAUGUAUUGUGAUCCUUCUAGAGUAUUCCCCGUAGAUGAUGUUCAGGUAACAGAGGAGUUGUCAUAUGAGGAGAAACCCGUAGCUAUACUUGAUCGCCAGGUUAGAAGGUUACGUACUAAGGAUGUGGCUUCCAUCAAAGUGUUGUGGCAAAAUAACAAUAGGGAGGAGAUGACUUGGGAAGCGGAAGAUGAAAUGAAGAAUAAGUAUCCUUACUUGUUCCCCGUACCUGCAGGUAAUUCAAUUCCUAGCUUGACUAUAUUGAUAGAUAAUGAGAUUAUGUAGCUGUGAGGCAUCUGUAAGUUACAGAAUGCAGGUUAAUAGGUAUAACUUUUAGAGAGACCUCGCUGGAAUUUGUUUUUGCAAGACGCUAACUUAACAUUCGAAGAUGAAUGUUCCUAAGGGGGGAGGAUGUUAUGCCUCGUAUUUUUUUAUAUGUGCUGCGCAUCGUGAUCUAGUAGACGUAAGUCCGGGGAAUGAGAUUUUAUUUUAAGUUCCAAGUGAUUAAAGAAAUAUUAGGCAAGGAUGUUAUUUCCAAAUGUGAUAUUAAGUAUGAGUUGGCUAAUGUAAGUGCCAUUAACUUUAAGUGAGGGAUUAAUUAGUUGAUAAUUUGGAUUAUUUUAAUCCAAUGGGCCCCACCACUCAUAAUUAAUGGCUGAUUAAUAUUUAAUCCAGUGGGCCCCACCACUCAAGGCAAAAAUUAAAAAGGGAUCAGAUUGUGGGCUGGCCUUAGUGGACAGGUGUAGAGGGGGGCUGCCUCCACUUCAUACUAUUAAAUGAGGUGGAGAAAUCCACUCCAUGCUAAAUAAAGUGGCGAAAUGCAUUGCUGCAUAUCAUCUUCUUCUUCACCACUUCUCUUAGGCAGCCAUGGAAAUGGAGAAACCAACCCUGCAACUCUUGGCCAACAGCUGCAAAUAAUUUGGUUAGUAAUCUCCUUGUUUGGUGUGUUAAUUCUUUAGAAUACACUUGUUAAUUAUCCAUUAAUUUUAAGAAGGGGCGUGACCAGUAGCUUAGGAAGUUUGUUUUAGUUAUUGAAUGUGCUAAGUAUGAAUGGAAACCAUAAUCGGAUUAUUAGUGGUGUCGUGUUGGUGCUUGGGCUGUUUUGAUUAAAGCAAACUGCAGGAAAAUUCUGUUUUGGCAUUAUGUAUAUGUUGAAUGUGAUUAUGAGUAUAUAAUCCAUAGGAUGAGUACAAUAAGGUAGAUGUGUUGCGAAUUAUAAAACGAAUUAUCACUCGAUGUGUCGUUGCUUCGCUGCUAUGGUUGCCGAGACGGAACUGUUUUAAGGAGGGGGCUGUUUAAUAUGAUUCUUUGGGUUAUAUGUGUUAUUGGUAUUGUUGUGGAUAAUUUGGAUUGUUGUCGGAUUGGGACGAAGUAAGGAAAAUAGGGGAGGUGCUGCCAAAUUUUCGUUAGAUUAUUAGCUAUCUUACAAGAAAGUAAAGCACGAUGUUUAUCUAAUUGCGGCACGAUUGUUGCUUGUUAUAGAUUAAUAGCUUGAGCAGUAAAUAUUGGACGUGCGGCUCGAUUAUACGGUAUGUAACGCUGUCCCUUCUUUCUUUGUUUAGCAUGACUUUUAAAAAUAAGUGAAUAAAGGACAGGUUUGAUACUUACCUCUAGAGCGUCUAGGUGACGUAUAUUCUUGCUUCCACAAUCAUUCCUCUAUAUAUCGGCUAUGUCUAAGGCUAUGAUGAUCUCUAAUAUCUAUGGUAGUGCUUGAGAUUUUAUGUUUCCAUAUCGUAUUAAAGGUUCAUAAUCUUGAUAAAACAUUAAUCUUUGGUAAUACUCCUUGCUGGUUCACGUUGAUUGUUCUAUUGAGUUAUAAGAAAUGAUUUUAAUUGCAUAUGGUUGCUCAUAAUAUUCUGCUCGUGCAUAGAGUCAUUUAUCAUUUCACCGAGUCCCGGGCCGGGUAAUGUUCGUGCGGAGUUUCUUGCAUAUGUCACCGAGUUCCUCACUAGAGGGUCGGGUAUGUAUAUUAUAUAUAUAUGAUUGGUGAUGAGGAUGGUUAUGAUGAUGAUGAUGACGGAGAUGACGUGAUGAUUAUUUUGUCGAGCCCCUUACUAGGGAAGCUGGGCACCUUAAAUGUUAAAUAUAUGCAUGAUUUUCACUUAAAAGGGUAUAUGUGUAGCGAUAUUUUGUUUUGACUUGCCAUAUUGGUAUCCUGUCAUCUUUACCUUAUGCUUUACAUACUCAG
Molecule: long non-coding RNA, 9773 nt
Filed under: Solanum lycopersicum (tomato)
Lineage: Eukaryota; Viridiplantae; Streptophyta; Magnoliopsida; Solanales; Solanaceae
Description: long non-coding RNA (SLYC_LNC000184)
Source: RNAcentral